RNAcentral lists this ribosomal RNA (445 nucleotides) under uncultured bacterium. RNAcentral's name for it is "bacterial SSU rRNA". It matches the Rfam family "Bacterial small subunit ribosomal RNA", at positions 354 to 796 of the family's 1533-position model. The record is from RNAcentral.
GUGAGGAAUAUUGGUCAAUGGGCGCAAGCCUGAACCAGCCAUCCCGCGUGCAGGAAGAAGGCGCUAUGCGUCGUAAACUGCUUUUUCAGGGGAAGAAAAUCCUGUACGUGUACGGGACUGACGGUACCCUGUGAAUAAGCAUCGGCUAACUCCGUGCCAGCAGCCGCGGUAAUACGGAGGAUGCGAGCGUUAUCCGGAUUCAUUGGGUUUAAAGGGUGCGUAGGCGGAACGAUAAGUCAGUGGUGAAAUUCUGCAGCUUAACUGUAGACGUGCCAUUGAUACUGUCAGUCUUGAGUAUGGUCAAGGUAGGCGGAAUGUGUAAUGUAGCGGUGAAAUGCUUAGAUAUUACACAGAACACCGAUUGCGAAGGCAGCUUGCUGGGCCAUUACUGACGCUGAUGCACGAAAGCGUGGGGAUCAAACAGGAUUAGAUACCCCAGUAGUCC